This 1046-nucleotide ribosomal RNA is filed under the name Saccharomyces cerevisiae (brewer's yeast). RNAcentral's name for it is "SSU rRNA". It matches the Rfam family "Eukaryotic small subunit ribosomal RNA", at positions 63 to 1118 of the family's 1831-position model. Lineage: Eukaryota; Fungi; Ascomycota; Saccharomycetes; Saccharomycetales; Saccharomycetaceae. The record is from RNAcentral.
GUAUAAGCAAUUUAUACAGUGAAACUGCGAAUGGCUCAUUAAAUCAGUUAUCGUUUAUUUGAUAGUUCCUUUACUACAUGGUAUAACUGUGGUAAUUCUAGAGCUAAUACAUGCUUAAAAUCUCGACCCUUUGGAAGAGAUGUAUUUAUUAGAUAAAAAAUCAAUGUCUUCGGACUCUUUGAUGAUUCAUAAUAACUUUUCGAAUCGCAUGGCCUUGUGCUGGCGAUGGUUCAUUCAAAUUUCUGCCCUAUCAACUUUCGAUGGUAGGAUAGUGGCCUACCAUGGUUUCAACGGGUAACGGGGAAUAAGGGUUCGAUUCCGGAGAGGGAGCCUGAGAAACGGCUACCACAUCCAAGGAAGGCAGCAGGCGCGCAAAUUACCCAAUCCUAAUUCAGGGAGGUAGUGACAAUAAAUAACGAUACAGGGCCCAUUCGGGUCUUGUAAUUGGAAUGAGUACAAUGUAAAUACCUUAACGAGGAACAAUUGGAGGGCAAGUCUGGUGCCAGCAGCCGCGGUAAUUCCAGCUCCAAUAGCGUAUAUUAAAGUUGUUGCAGUUAAAAAGCUCGUAGUUGAACUUUGGGCCCGGUUGGCCGGUCCGAUUUUUUCGUGUACUGGAUUUCCAACGGGGCCUUUCCUUCUGGCUAACCUUGAGUCCUUGUGGCUCUUGGCGAACCAGGACUUUUACUUUGAAAAAAUUAGAGUGUUCAAAGCAGGCGUAUUGCUCGAAUAUAUUAGCAUGGAAUAAUAGAAUAGGACGUUUGGUUCUAUUUUGUUGGUUUCUAGGACCAUCGUAAUGAUUAAUAGGGACGGUCGGGGGCAUCAGUAUUCAAUUGUCAGAGGUGAAAUUCUUGGAUUUAUUGAAGACUAACUACUGCGAAAGCAUUUGCCAAGGACGUUUUCAUUAAUCAAGAACGAAAGUUAGGGGAUCGAAGAUGAUCAGAUACCGUCGUAGUCUUAACCAUAAACUAUGCCGACUAGGGAUCGGGUGGUGUUUUUUUAAUGACCCACUCGGCACCUUACGAGAAAUCAAAGUCUUUGGGUCUGGG